UUUAAAUGUAAAUAAAUUUACCUGGGUAAUAGCAGUUAUGUUCUCCAAACCCAAAGAAUUUGGCGGUGUUUUAGUCCUUUCAGAGGAACCUGUCCUGUGAUCGACAGUCCACGAUAUUAUUUACUUGUUUUUGUUUUUCAGUUUGUAUACCUCCGUCAUAAGAGAAUCUUUUUAGAGUAUAAUUUUCUGUAUUUAGAAAAUAUAUAAUGUCAGGUCAAGGUGCAAUUUAUGAAUAAGUAGAGAUGGGUUACAAUAAAUUUAUUUAUAUGGAUUAAGAUAUUUAAUUUCUUAUGAAGGUGGAUUUGAUAGUAAUUUUGAUUAUUAGUUAUUAUGAUUUUGGCUCUAAUACAUGC
Molecule: ribosomal RNA, 353 nt
Filed under: Leptogomphus gestroi
Lineage: Eukaryota; Metazoa; Arthropoda; Insecta; Odonata; Aeshnidae
Description: partial 12S ribosomal RNA
Source: RNAcentral